This 1011-nucleotide long non-coding RNA is filed under the name Equus asinus (donkey). RNAcentral's name for it is "lncRNA (ENSEASG00005031024.1)". Lineage: Eukaryota; Metazoa; Chordata; Mammalia; Perissodactyla; Equidae. The record is from RNAcentral.
CUGAGGAAGAAUGAUCCUGAGCUAAUAUCUGUGCCUAUGCUCCUCUAUUCUAUAUGUAGGAUGCCUGCCACAGCAUGGCUUGAUAAGCAGUGUGUAGGUCUGUGCCCGGGAUCUGAACCUGCGAAUCCCGGGCCAGCAAAGCAGAGCAAGCAAACUGAACCAGUACACCACCGGUCAGCCCCAGACUUUUACAUUUUUGCCCAUCAAAGGCAUGGAAUUUGAUACUCCAUUCUGGCCUUAACUUGCAUGUCCUUGCUCACUAAUAAUGUUUAAUAUCUCUUUAUAAGUUUACUAGCCAUGUGUUUCCUCUUCUGCGAAAUAUUUCUUCAUAUCUUUGCUUAUUUUUCUAUUGAAUUGUUUGUAUUGCUUUAGUAUUUAUUUGCAGGCAUUCUUUAAAUAUGCACACAAAAAAUGAGAGAAUAACUUGUUUUAGGGUGAAAUGGGCCCAAUAACUGGUAAACAUGGCAACAUUCAGCUUUGAGUUGAGAGGCAGCAUACUGUGGCGAUGAAGCACACAGACGUUUGCACCAGAUCGCCUGGGUCCAAAACUUGACCCUGAUAAACUUGACUUUUUUUCUUUUUAUUGUAUGGGGUCCUUUUAUUCUCGGCAGCAGAAAUGAUUCCUCCUUGCAGACCCGGAGCUUCGGGUCUGCAGAAAACUAUAUUCAGAUGCGAGCAUGACGAUGGUGCACAGCAAUCCCGGAGUAGUGGUUCUAGACAAACGGCACCACAUGGAGGGCUCAGGCAGAAAUGUAACGUGAGCACUGAGUCACAGACUGGCUCUUAGCUCUCUUCCAGAUUUAACAGCUUGUGAUUCUAUAAGGGAUGUUGAAUCACUUAUUGCAGACUGCACAAAGCUUGACAACGAGGCAUGACGGAACUUCAACUGCACUUUCGUUGAGUCUGAAAUCAUAUUCUGAAGCAACAGUCAUUGUCUAAGUAAAACGAACUGCCAAUUAUUUGAAUAAAGAGAAGUAGCAUUGUCCUGUGUUAGCUAUCUUUUUCCCCCCA